CAUACGAGCCACAGAAAACUCACCGGUACUCACAAAGAGGGAGAGCAAAAUGUUAUUACGUGGCAGAUAUAUAUUUGCAAGACCAUUUUCAAUAAGGACACUUAAGAGAAACUACAUCUUGUGAGAUGAGGUCGGCCGACACCGGAAGCUAUCCCGGCGGUGAAAUAGUUUGCCCGCCACUUUCACACGAAUCAGCCGACUACGACUGGUUUUUACGGCGUCAGAUGGGUGCUACAAAUUUCACCCAUUAAGACACUGAUGGCAGGAGCUGCCAUGAAAGGCCCUAAACACGACCCAUCAGGACCAAGGAUGAAGUGUCUUACUCAAGGACACCACCGACGUGAAUGGGGGAAGCUGGGGAUCGAACCAGGAACCCUUAAGUUGCUGGCACGGCCGCUAUACCACGUGAGCCACAACGUCCCAAGUAGGUUUUUAAAAACAGCAGAAUGCUUCUGUCAUAUAGAGCAGUGGUUCUCAACCCUUCUUCAGUGAUGUUCCCCCUGUGAAGAUGUUUUUAAUUCAAGUACCUCCUAAUCAGAGCAAAGCAUUUUUGGUUGAAAAAAAGAGAUAAAGAAGUAAAAUACA
Molecule: long non-coding RNA, 585 nt
Organism: Nerophis ophidion (straightnose pipefish)
Lineage: Eukaryota; Metazoa; Chordata; Actinopteri; Syngnathiformes; Syngnathidae
Exons: 2
Source: RefSeq, a predicted model, not a curated record